RNAcentral lists this unclassified non-coding RNA (209 nucleotides) under Hevea brasiliensis (rubber tree). Lineage: Eukaryota; Viridiplantae; Streptophyta; Magnoliopsida; Malpighiales; Euphorbiaceae. The record is from RNAcentral.
UUUCAUUUAUGAAAGGGCCACAAAAUUUGAAUACAUCUUCUUUAUUGCAUGAUAAUCUGGUUAGUGCAGCUUUGAGUGGUCAAAAUGGUGAAAGAUUGCUCUCUAGUUCUAAAUCUGGAGCACUAAUUGAAGAACAGACAAUCUUGUCAGGUGCAAGAGAUCCUCCUCACACUAGUUAUGCAGAUGCCAGAUUUAUUGGUAAAUCAACU